RNAcentral lists this ribosomal RNA (487 nucleotides) under uncultured Vagococcus sp. RNAcentral's name for it is "bacterial SSU rRNA". It matches the Rfam family "Bacterial small subunit ribosomal RNA", at positions 1028 to 1516 of the family's 1533-position model. The record is from RNAcentral. Lineage: Bacteria; Bacillati; Bacillota; Bacilli; Lactobacillales; Enterococcaceae.
AAAGUGACAGGUGGUGCAUGGUUGUUGUCAGCUCGUGUCGUGAGAUGUUGGGUUAAGUCCCGCAACGAGCGCAACCCUUAUUGUUAGUUGCCAUCAUUAAGUUGGGCACUCUAGCGAGACUGCCGGUGACAAACCGGAGGAAGGUGGGGAUGACGUCAAAUCAUCAUGCCCCUUAUGACCUGGGCUACACACGUGCUACAAUGGACAGUACAAUGAGCAGCGACACGGCGACGUGAAGCGAAUCUCAUAAAGCUGUUCUCAGUUCGGAUUGUAGGCUGCAACUCGCCUACAUGAAGCCGGAAUCGCUAGUAAUCGCGGAUCAGCACGCCGCGGUGAAUACGUUCCCGGGCCUUGUACACACCGCCCGUCACACCACGAAAGUUUGUAACACCCGAAGUCGGUGAGGUAACCGCAAGGAGCCAACCGCCUAAGGUGGGAUAGAUGAUUGGGGUGAAGUCGUAACAAGGUAACCAAGGGCGAAUUCCAG